Molecule: long non-coding RNA, 928 nt
Filed under: Nicotiana benthamiana
Lineage: Eukaryota; Viridiplantae; Streptophyta; Magnoliopsida; Solanales; Solanaceae
Description: long non-coding RNA (NBEN_LNC042016)
Source: RNAcentral
UUCAAUCAAACCCAGCAAAAUACAUUGUUAACAUGAACGCCUUAGUGAAAGUUUUUAGUUACACGAGGACUAAACUGAAAACUAGAAUAGAAAAUGAACUAUAAUAAACCACUAACAGAAUUUACACUACUACUACAAUAUAGUAGUAGGCCUCAUAAAUCAGAAACCUAAAGAAAGAAUUCAGUUUUCAGUUAGAGUCCAAAGACUUUGAAACUUCAGUUACAUCCCGGAGACAUAACGACACACGACAACUGACUCUAUUGAUUUUGAAAUGACCAACAAAUAAUCAACAAAGCAAAACUAAAAAAACAAAAGUAAAACAAGAGAAGCGACAAAGAAAUAUUGACUACGAAUCAAAUCAAUGAAACGAACUAAAAGAUUAAUGAGUCAAAAAGUAGCUCAAUUGACCUCAGUCGCCUAAUCGAUACAUCUAAACUAAUCACGACGAGCAAGGAAAGGGAUGAUUCGAAGCACCGUACAAUGACAUAAAAAUAAUAGCAAACAACAAAUUACUAAUUAAAUUUAUGGGAACAACAUAAACGUGAAUACAAAAUAAACUUUAAAGCUUCUGCUACUACUAACUACAAGAAUGAAAUCAGAAGAAAAAAAAGGAAAUAGCUAUUACCAACACUUAGGGACAUUCGAGGCCAAAUCGCACAACGAUAAUAUGCUGAGGAUAUCAACCAAUGACUGUCCAAUCCUAAAACGUAAGCUUCUUUUUAGUAGACGCCUAAACAAAUAAGGUCUGGCGUCAUACUAUAUGGAAACGUGACUUUUCGGAUCGAAUAGGCUUAAAGAAUGAGGCAGUGGUAAGGCAGUAGUGGCGGGACAGUGGGGUGGCCGUCGGAAUUCAGCCAGAUUUUGAUCCUCGGAUUUGGGACAGAAACUAACACAAAGAGAUAGAAUCAUGCAAUACAUACAUAUAUNN